AACGAACGCUGGCGGCAUGCCUAACACAUGCAAGUCGAACGAGACCUUCGGGUCUAGUGGCGCACGGGUGCGUAACGCCUGGGAACCUGCCCUUAGGUUCGGGAUAACUCCCCGAAAGGGGUGCUAAUACCGGCUAAUUUCUUCGGACCAAAGAUUUAUCGCGUUUGGAUGGGCCCGCGUUGGAUUAGCUAGUUGGUAGGGUAAAAGCCUACCAAGGCGACGAUCCAUAGCUGGUCUGAGAGGAUGAUCAGCCACACUGGGACUGAGACACGGCCCAGACUCCUACGGGAGGCAGCAGUGGGGAAUAUAGGAAAAUGGGCGAAAGCCUGAUCCAGCAAUGCCGCGUGAGUGAUGAAGGCCUUAGGGUUGUAAAGCUCUUUUACCCGGGAUGAUAAUGACAGUACCGGGAGAAUAAGCUCCGGCUAACUCCGUG
This 433-nucleotide ribosomal RNA is filed under the name uncultured bacterium. RNAcentral describes it as "partial 16S ribosomal RNA". It matches the Rfam family "Bacterial small subunit ribosomal RNA", at positions 29 to 507 of the family's 1533-position model. The record is from RNAcentral.